CACAGAAGGAGAGAAGGAAGAACACGUGUAGAGACUGUUUUCAGGGGUUGAUUUUACAGCAGCAUUGUGAUGAGUCAACACUGCGUGCUCAGUGUCUUUGGAUCAGCUCCCACGCAUAACACAGUGUAGGUAAAGGGCAACUCUGCCGCUUCCAGUUCCUUUUGAUAGAUGUUGUUUCAACCCAGCUAUUAAAUAUAUUUGAGUGCCUCAGCCAUAGACAUACCCUAACACCACAGAGCUACUGUGCACCUGACUGGUCUUUGCAGGUUUGGCCCUUGGUAGAAGUGGGCAGUAGUACUUCCCCAGCAUGCAGAUACUUUCAGUACCUAAAGGGAGCCUAUAAACAGGACGGGAGUAAACUCUUUGAAAGGGUAGAUAACAGCAGGACAAUGGGAAAUGGUUUUAAGUUGAAGGAGGGAAGAUUUAGGUUGGAUGUCAGGGUGAAAUUCUUUACUAUGAGAGUGGUGAGGUGCUGGAACAGGCUGCCCAGAGAGGUUGUGGAUGUCCUGUCCCUGGAGGUGUUCAAGGUCAGGUUGGAUGGGGCUGUGGGCAGCCUGGUCUAGCAUUAAAUGGGGAGGUUGGUGGCCCUGCCUGCGGCGAGGGGGUUGGAGAUUCGUGAUGCUUGAGGUCCCUUCCAACCCAGGCCAUUCUGUAAUUCAGUGAAAAGGGCCAUGACAAUACAUGUCUGGCUGUGAAGUGCUUGAAUGCCACAGCAAUGUUAUUUUUCUAGCUGAACAGAAAAACUUUUGAUGCAAGGAGAAAAAUCAAUAUUUCAGGAAGAGGUUUCGAAGGCUUAAGUGGGAUAUCGAAGGAAUUUGUGCUGGGAGUGAUAGCCAUCUCCUGAUAUCCUCUAUAAGAACCUUUUGCCCUCAUCUGCCACAGCUGCUCAGAUGAAUCAAGCAGUAUGGCACCAUUGUGGUGGGAUUAUUAAAGCAAAUAAGCUUUUCUUGAAUCCCCCUUCCUCCGAUUAGUGUUUGAGAAAAGGGGAUGCAGCUGGGUGCCCAAGCAACCAGCUGGAGAAAGUUGUGCUGGUGAAAAGGCAGAGACUGAGCUGUAGCCAGGUGGAUUUGGUUGUAAGAUUACAUGAAGGAACUGCAGUGAAAGGUUUAGUCGUUGCCUUAGGAAAGAUAAGGAAAAUUCAGGCUGGUGCACAUCACCUGGGGAACAUUCUACCAUCUUAUUGUGGAAGGCUUUGCUCUGAGGCAACAUCCCUUCAGCAGCUCAGCGUGGCCAGAAGAUGCUGGGAAUGCAGAAAAGCAGCUUUUAAUCUUCCUUGGCUGCUUGCUAGUAAAUUUGUGUUCAUCCUUCCCUUGGAAGUGUUACCACAGUCUGAGCUGCUUUGUGAGGUGCCAAGUACAAAGAAUGGAACAUGUAUAACAUUUUUCAUUAGUAAGUCAAUUUAUUGCCAUACCCUGUCUCCGAAUGAAGAGAAUUAUUAUGUGAAGGUCAUUGUUGUGGUAUAUUUCUGUGUUUUCUGUAUACAAACUCCUGUUAACAGUUGACUCAAAGUAAGUAGAGAAAAAAAAUGUAGUACAUCUGUUGUGAUUGAUUAUUUUCCUUUUUAAAUUACUUCUCUCUGUCAUUUUCAUUUUAUAUACUUGGUGUAGGAUGAGC
Phasianus colchicus (ring-necked pheasant) is the source of this 1614-nucleotide long non-coding RNA. Lineage: Eukaryota; Metazoa; Chordata; Aves; Galliformes; Phasianidae. The record is from Ensembl.